CAGUCGCCGCGGUAAUACGGGGGGGGCAAGUGUUAUUCGGAAUGACUGGGCGUAAAGCGUGCGUAGGCGGCUUCUUAAGUCGGAUGUGAAAUCCCUGAGCUUAACUUAGGAAUUGCAUUCGAUACUGGGAAGCUAGAGUAUGGGAGAGGAUGGUAGAAUUCCAGGUGUAGCGGUGAAAUGCGUAGAGAUCUGGAGGAAUACCGAUGGCGAAGGCAGCCAUCUGGCCUAAUACUGACGCUGAGGUACGAAAGCAUGGGGAGCAAACAGGAUUAGAUACCCGCGUAGUCCCUGUCUCUUAUAC
RNAcentral lists this ribosomal RNA (301 nucleotides) under uncultured bacterium. RNAcentral describes it as "partial 16S ribosomal RNA". It matches the Rfam family "Bacterial small subunit ribosomal RNA", at positions 509 to 807 of the family's 1533-position model. The record is from RNAcentral.